RNAcentral lists this ribosomal RNA (1273 nucleotides) under Klebsiella sp. UIWRF1177. RNAcentral's name for it is "bacterial SSU rRNA". It matches the Rfam family "Bacterial small subunit ribosomal RNA", at positions 117 to 1387 of the family's 1533-position model. Lineage: Bacteria; Pseudomonadati; Pseudomonadota; Gammaproteobacteria; Enterobacterales; Enterobacteriaceae. The record is from RNAcentral.
CUGGGAAACUGCCUGAUGGAGGGGGAUAACUACUGGAAACGGUAGCUAAUACCGCAUAACGUCGCAAGACCAAAGUGGGGGACCUUCGGGCCUCAUGCCAUCAGAUGUGCCCAGAUGGGAUUAGCUAGUAGGUGGGGUAACGGCUCACCUAGGCGACGAUCCCUAGCUGGUCUGAGAGGAUGACCAGCCACACUGGAACUGAGACACGGUCCAGACUCCUACGGGAGGCAGCAGUGGGGAAUAUUGCACAAUGGGCGCAAGCCUGAUGCAGCCAUGCCGCGUGUGUGAAGAAGGCCUUCGGGUUGUAAAGCACUUUCAGCGGGGAGGAAGGCGAUAAGGUUAAUAACCUUGUCGAUUGACGUUACCCGCAGAAGAAGCACCGGCUAACUCCGUGCCAGCAGCCGCGGUAAUACGGAGGGUGCAAGCGUUAAUCGGAAUUACUGGGCGUAAAGCGCACGCAGGCGGUCUGUCAAGUCGGAUGUGAAAUCCCCGGGCUCAACCUGGGAACUGCAUUCGAAACUGGCAGGCUAGAGUCUUGUAGAGGGGGGUAGAAUUCCAGGUGUAGCGGUGAAAUGCGUAGAGAUCUGGAGGAAUACCGGUGGCGAAGGCGGCCCCCUGGACAAAGACUGACGCUCAGGUGCGAAAGCGUGGGGAGCAAACAGGAUUAGAUACCCUGGUAGUCCACGCCGUAAACGAUGUCGAUUUGGAGGUUGUGCCCUUGAGGCGUGGCUUCCGGAGCUAACGCGUUAAAUCGACCGCCUGGGGAGUACGGCCGCAAGGUUAAAACUCAAAUGAAUUGACGGGGGCCCGCACAAGCGGUGGAGCAUGUGGUUUAAUUCGAUGCAACGCGAAGAACCUUACCUGGUCUUGACAUCCACAGAACUUAGCAGAGAUGCUUUGGUGCCUUCGGGAACUGUGAGACAGGUGCUGCAUGGCUGUCGUCAGCUCGUGUUGUGAAAUGUUGGGUUAAGUCCCGCAACGAGCGCAACCCUUAUCCUUUGUUGCCAGCGGUCCGGCCGGGAACUCAAAGGAGACUGCCAGUGAUAAACUGGAGGAAGGUGGGGAGGACGUCAAGUCAUCAUGGCCCUUACGACCAGGGCUACACACGUGCUACAAUGGCAUAUACAAAGAGAAGCGACCUCGCGAGAGCAAGCGGACCUCAUAAAGUAUGUCGUAGUCCGGAUUGGAGUCUGCAACUCGACUCCAUGAAGUCGGAAUCGCUAGUAAUCGUAGAUCAGAAUGCUACGGUGAAUACGUUCCCGGGCCUUGUACA